CUUGUACUUUCAAGAGCGCCCCAGCUCUGAGAGCCUUCCUUUCUGCCUCCUCACUGGCCACAGCUCUACCCUGGAGACCUCAAGGCCAUUGGCCACCUCUGCACCCAGUGCCCUCUCCUUCCAUAGGACUGGGCAGGAUGAACAGCUGAAAUCCUGGAAGAGGAGGAGGGAGGCAUCAGGAGGUAUGAAGGAGAGAGCAGCUCUGCACCAGCUUGUUGCUGCUCAUAUCUGCUUGUCAGAGAACCUAAGUAGCCACUGUGCCUCACCUGAUGGAAGGCAAAGCAGUAUCAAAGGUUUUCAUCCUAGAAGCAGGGAG
RNAcentral lists this long non-coding RNA (316 nucleotides) under Equus caballus (horse). RNAcentral describes it as "lncRNA (ENSECAG00000053218.1)". Lineage: Eukaryota; Metazoa; Chordata; Mammalia; Perissodactyla; Equidae. The record is from RNAcentral.